RNAcentral lists this ribosomal RNA (1509 nucleotides) under Lacticaseibacillus casei. Its description in RNAcentral is "bacterial SSU rRNA". It matches the Rfam family "Bacterial small subunit ribosomal RNA". Lineage: Bacteria; Bacillati; Bacillota; Bacilli; Lactobacillales; Lactobacillaceae. The record is from RNAcentral.
CUGGCUCAGGAUGAACGCUGGCGGCGUGCCUAAUACAUGCAAGUCGAACGAGUUCUCGUUGAUGAUCGGUGCUYGCACCGAGAUUCAACAUGGAACGAGUGGCGGACGGGUGAGUAACACGUGGGUAACCUGCCCUUAAGUGGGGGAUAACAUUUGGAAACAGAUGCUAAUACCGCAUAGAUCCAAGAACCGCAUGGUUCUUGGCUGAAAGAUGGCGUAAGCUAUCGCUUUUGGAUGGACCCGCGGCGUAUUAGCUAGUUGGUGAGGUAAUGGCUCACCAAGGCGAUGAUACGUAGCCGAACUGAGAGGUUGAUCGGCCACAUUGGGACUGAGACACGGCCCAAACUCCUACGGGAGGCAGCAGUAGGGAAUCUUCCACAAUGGACGCAAGUCUGAUGGAGCAACGCCGCGUGAGUGAAGAAGGCUUUCGGGUCGUAAAACUCUGUUGUUGGAGAAGAAUGGUCGGCAGAGUAACUGUUGUCGGCGUGACGGUAUCCAACCAGAAAGCCACGGCUAACUACGUGCCAGCAGCCGCGGUAAUACGUAGGUGGCAAGCGUUAUCCGGAUUUAUUGGGCGUAAAGCGAGCGCAGGCGGUUUUUUAAGUCUGAUGUGAAAGCCCUCGGCUUAACCGAGGAAGCGCAUCGGAAACUGGGAAACUUGAGUGCAGAAGAGGACAGUGGAACUCCAUGUGUAGCGGUGAAAUGCGUAGAUAUAUGGAAGAACACCAGUGGCGAAGGCGGCUGUCUGGUCUGUAACUGACGCUGAGGCUCGAAAGCAUGGGUAGCGAACAGGAUUAGAUACCCUGGUAGUCCAUGCCGUAAACGAUGAAUGCUAGGUGUUGGAGGGUUUCCGCCCUUCAGUGCCGCAGCUAACGCAUUAAGCAUUCCGCCUGGGGAGUACGACCGCAAGGUUGAAACUCAAAGGAAUUGACGGGGGCCCGCACAAGCGGUGGAGCAUGUGGUUUAAUUCGAAGCAACGCGAAGAACCUUACCAGGUCUUGACAUCUUUUGAUCACCUGAGAGAUCAGGUUUCCCCUUCGGGGGCAAAAUGACAGGUGGUGCAUGGUUGUCGUCAGCUCGUGUCGUGAGAUGUUGGGUUAAGUCCCGCAACGAGCGCAACCCUUAUGACUAGUUGCCAGCAUUUAGUUGGGCACUCUAGUAAGACUGCCGGUGACAAACCGGAGGAAGGUGGGGAUGACGUCAAAUCAUCAUGCCCCUUAUGACCUGGGCUACACACGUGCUACAAUGGAUGGUACAACGAGUUGCGAGACCGCGAGGUYAAGCUAAUCUCUUAAAGCCAUUCUCAGUUCGGACUGUAGGCUGCAACUCGCCUACACGAAGUCGGAAUCGCUAGUAAUCGCGGAUCAGCACGCCGCGGUGAAUACGUUCCCGGGCCUUGUACACACCGCCCGUCACACCAUGAGAGUUUGUAACACCCGAAGCCGGUGGCGUAACCCUUUUAGGGAGCGAGCCGUCUAAGGUGGGACAAAUGAUUAGGGUGAAGUCGUA